GACGAACGCUGGCGGCGUGCUUAACACAUGCAAGUCGAGCGGUAAGGCCCUUUCGGGGGUACACGAGCGGCGAACGGGUGAGUAACACGUGGGUGACCUGCCCUCAGCUCUGGGAUAAGCCUGGGAAACCGGGUCUAAUACUGGAUAUGACUCCAUGACGCAUGUUGUGGGGUGGAAAGCCUUGUGCGGCUGAGGAUGGGCCCGCGGCCUAUCAGCUUGUUGGUGGGGUGAUGGCUUACCAAGGCGACGACGGGUAGCCGGCCUGAGAGGGCGACCGGCCACACUGGGACUGAGACACGGCCCAGACUCCUACGGGAGGGCAGCAGUGGGGAAUCUUGCGCAAUGGGGCGAAAGCCUGACGCAGCGACGCCGCGUGAGGGAUGACGGCC
RNAcentral lists this ribosomal RNA (389 nucleotides) under uncultured bacterium. Its description in RNAcentral is "bacterial SSU rRNA". It matches the Rfam family "Bacterial small subunit ribosomal RNA", at positions 28 to 416 of the family's 1533-position model. The record is from RNAcentral.